Molecule: ribosomal RNA, 253 nt
Filed under: uncultured bacterium
Lineage: Bacteria
Description: partial 16S ribosomal RNA
Rfam family: Bacterial small subunit ribosomal RNA
Source: RNAcentral
AACGUAGGAACCGAGCGUUAUCCGAAUUCACUGGGCGUAAAGCGCGUGUAGGCGGCUUGGUAAGUUGGAUGUGAAAGCUCCCGGCUCAACUGGGAGAGGACGUUCAAUACUGUCGAGCUAGAGGGCGAUAGAGGGAGGUAGAAUUCCUGGUGUAGUGGUGAAAUGCGUAGAUAUCAGGAGGAAUACCAGUGGCGAAGGCGGCCUCCUGGGUCGCACCUGACGCUCAGACGCGAAAGCUAGGGUAGCAAACGGG